UGUGAAUUCUCACCUCGGGGCGACGCGGGGAAACUCUAAAUAAGGCUGAAGGUCUCAACCAAGGAUUGAAGUCACGUUGAGCAUCGGCGUGAUUUGAUACAAUUCUCUUUAUUUGUAUGAGUCAGCGGCGGUCUGUUCAGCAGGACACAAAGAAACACAAGAUUUCCUGCAAAGUCAUAACAAAGAACUGCGGGGAAGGAACCUGAUGCAUGGGAGAGGAGCCGCGGCGAUGACAGCG
This 238-nucleotide long non-coding RNA is filed under the name Betta splendens (Siamese fighting fish). Its description in RNAcentral is "lncRNA (ENSBSLG00000005738.1)". Lineage: Eukaryota; Metazoa; Chordata; Actinopteri; Anabantiformes; Osphronemidae. The record is from RNAcentral.